AAAUAUCUUGUAAUUGUUUGGU
Molecule: microRNA, 22 nt
Filed under: Salmo salar (Atlantic salmon)
Lineage: Eukaryota; Metazoa; Chordata; Actinopteri; Salmoniformes; Salmonidae
Description: ssa-miR-7552b-3p
Source: miRBase by way of RNAcentral